RNAcentral lists this unclassified non-coding RNA (253 nucleotides) under uncultured Alphaproteobacteria bacterium. Its description in RNAcentral is "contains 16S-23S intergenic spacer region". It matches the Rfam family "Bacterial small subunit ribosomal RNA", at positions 524 to 776 of the family's 1533-position model. Lineage: Bacteria; Pseudomonadati; Pseudomonadota; Alphaproteobacteria. The record is from RNAcentral.
GACGGAGGGGGCUAGCGUUGUUCGGAAUUACUGGGCGUAAAGAGCGCGUAGGCGGUUUUCCAAGUUGGGCGUGAAAGCCCGGGGCUCAACCCCGGAACUGCGCUCGAGACUGGAUGACUAGAGGCCGGGAGAGGUGAGUGGAACUCCCAGUGUAGAGGUGAAAUUCGUAGAUAUUGGGAAGAACACCAGUGGCGAAGGCGGCUCACUGGACCGGUACUGACGCUGAGGUACGAAAGCAUGGGGAGCAAACAGG